UGUCAUUUGAUUGUGCUGCCUAUAAAAGUCAGUUAGGCUAUGUGCUUGAGCUCAGUUGAAUUUCAACUAUCAAACGUUCGUGUUUAGUCUCCUACGAAGAAGCAACAAACAGAGAUUCUUCUACACCCAUUAACUGCUAUUCUCGUGCACCUCACACCAGCAACCAAAGGAAUUUUUGUUGAGUUCAUUGCCAAUAGACGGCAAGACUCUUGGAUCCCAGCGAUAGCUAACGGCUCAACAAGAUUAAAUACAGAUCAACUGCGAUCACUUUUGAAAAGCGGCAACUUCUUUAAAUUAUCAACGGCAUUAAAGCCGUAUCAGAUUUGUUGUGUGUCUUGUCCGUCAGUUCGCACACAGCGAGCCUACUGUAAGUAGAAACACGUAAAGAUGUCAACAAUGAAGAAAUGCGUGGUUUUUCAUGGAGAAAAUAACAACGACAGUCGCUAUAUAGCGUCGAGAAAAAGAACCAAAGUCAAUAAUGAGUAAAGUAAAAAACAAAAACAAAAAUAGAAAUUAACGGAAAAGUAACCAUAAAAUUAACCCAUAAAAAUAUGUAACCAAUAGUAGGGCCAAUAUGUAGCCAAAGAUAUACGAUGUAAUCAAUAUCAAGUUAAUUUAUCAAUAUCUGUUUAAGCAGUCACAAAUAAACAGCAAUGCAUAGGUAGGCAACUAAUGGUAUUAGAUAUAAGUUAAACCAUCGAUAAUAAUACACAGAUAAUGUGUCGAAUCCAACCAAAUAUUCCCAAACAUAUUGAUUAAUGAUCACGUUAACGAUCGAUUUAAAUAUAACAAUACUGUUCCCCCACCGAGAGUUAAAUAUUGGACAAAGUCUGAUCUAUCCGGGGCAUGUGUUCUGCUUAUUAACCCCAUCCAGCCAACAAAAUUAUCCGUGGUAAAUCUAAAUGGGCGUCCGAAUUGUAUAACGCGUGCGCGACGUGUUUCUCUAACCAACUUGAAGGCCAGGGUCCGGACCUUUGCCGUUACGCGAUCUUCGUGCCGUGCGUCAUGCGGCUGUCGCCCCUCGUGUCGGUUGGGCGGGUGGUGGGUAACAUUGAUGUUACACGUUGGGAUUGCGUUCGUAAAAUAAUU
Molecule: long non-coding RNA, 1089 nt
Organism: Drosophila innubila
Lineage: Eukaryota; Metazoa; Arthropoda; Insecta; Diptera; Drosophilidae
Exons: 2
Source: RefSeq, a predicted model, not a curated record